CUGGGUUACGACGGCAGUGAUUAGAGUUUGAUCAUGGCUCAGGAUGAACGCUAGCUACAGGCUUAACACAUGCAAGUCGAGGGGCAGCAUAAUCGAAGCUUGCUUUGAUUGAUGGCGACCGGCGCACGGGUGAGUAACGCGUAUCCAACCUUCCCCUUAGUAGAGGAUAGCCCGGCGAAAGUCGGAUUAAUACUCUAUGUUAUUCGUUGAGGACAUCUGAAAUGAAUCAAAGGUUUACCGCUAAGGGAUGGGGAUGCGUCUGAUUAGGUUGUUGGCGGGGUAACGGCCCACCAAGCCCACGAUCAGUAGGGGUUCUGAGAGGAAGGUCCCCCACAUUGGAACUGAGACACGGUCCAAACUCCUACGGGAGGCAGCAGUGAGGAAUAUUGGUCAAUGGACGGAAGUCUGAACCAGCCAAGUAGCGUGCAGGAUGACGGCCCUAUGGGUUGUAAACUGCUUUUGUACGGGAAUAAAGUGCGGGACGUGUCCCGUUUUGUAUGUACCGUAAGAAUAAGGACCGGCUAAUUCCGUGCCAGCAGCCGCGGUAAUACGGAAGGUCCGGGCGUUAUCCGGAUUUAUUGGGUUUAAAGGGAGCGCAGGCUGGAGAUUAAGCGUGACGUGAAAUGCCGCGGCUCAACCGUGGAAGUGCGUCGCGAACUGGUUUCCUUGAGUGUAUUCGACGUCAGCGGAAUUCGUGGUGUAGCGGUGAAAUGCUUAGAUAUCACGAAGAACUCCGAUUGCGAAGGCAGCUGGCGAGGCUAUAACUGACGCUAAAGCUCGAAGGUGCGGGUAUCGAACAGGAUUAGAUACCCUGGUAGUCCGCACGGUAAACGAUGGAUGCCCGCUGUAUGCGAUAUACUGUAUGCGGCCAAGCGAAAGCGUUAAGCAUCCCACCUGGGGAGUACGCCCGGCAACGGUGAAACUCAAAGGAAUUGACGGGGCCCGCACAAGCGGAGGAACAUGUGGUUUAAUUCGAUGAUACGCGAGGAACCUUACUCGGGCUUGAACUGCAGAGACGAUUCAGAGAUGAUGAAGGUCCUUCGGGACUCUUGUGGAGGUGCUGCAUGGUUGUUCGUCAGCUCGUGGCCGUGAGGUGUCGGCUUAAUUGCCAUUAACGAGGCGCCAACCCCUGCGCACUAGAUUGCAUUCAAGUCAAUGCUGGCACACCUCAGGGUGGGACGAGCCCAACGCCUAAGGUUGAGAAAGUUGGGGUAAAUCCUAUAUAAACACAGGGCGCCUAUCGUACCGAGGGGCUGUCAACCACCACGAGGUU
Molecule: ribosomal RNA, 1273 nt
Filed under: uncultured bacterium
Lineage: Bacteria
Description: partial 16S ribosomal RNA
Rfam family: Bacterial small subunit ribosomal RNA
Source: RNAcentral